This 374-nucleotide ribosomal RNA is filed under the name uncultured organism. RNAcentral's name for it is "bacterial SSU rRNA". It matches the Rfam family "Bacterial small subunit ribosomal RNA", at positions 526 to 896 of the family's 1533-position model. The record is from RNAcentral.
CGGGGGGAGCAAGCGUUGUUCGGAUUUACUGGGCGUAAAGGGCGCGUAGGCGGUCGUGACAAGUCACUUGUGAAAUCUCCGGGCUUAACUCGGAACGGUCAAGUGAUACUGUCGGACUAGAGUACAGAAGGGGCAACUGGAAUUCUCGGUGUAGCGGUGAAAUGCGUAGAUAUCGAGAGGAACACCUGCGGCGAAGGCGGGUUGCUGGGCUGAUACUGACGCUGAGGCGCGAAAGCCAGGGGAGCGAACGGGAUUAGAUACCCCGGUAGUCCUGGCCUUAAACGAUGAAUGCUUGGUGUCUCGGGUUAUAAAGUCCCGGGGUGCCGUCGCUAACGCUUUUAGCAUUCCGCCUGGGGAGUACGGUCGCAAGACUG